RNAcentral lists this ribosomal RNA (464 nucleotides) under uncultured bacterium. RNAcentral describes it as "partial 16S ribosomal RNA". It matches the Rfam family "Bacterial small subunit ribosomal RNA", at positions 28 to 507 of the family's 1533-position model. The record is from RNAcentral.
GACGAACGCUGGCGGCGUGCUUAACACAUGCAAGUCGAACGGAAAGGCCCUGCUUGCAGGGUACUCGAGUGGCGAACGGGUGAGUAACACGUGGGUGAUCUGCCCUGCACUUCGGGAUAAGCCUGGGAAACGGGGACUAAUACCGGAAAGGAGCCCUUUUAGUGCGGGGGGUGGAAAGUUUUUUCGGUGUUGGAUGAGCUCGCGGCCUAUCCGCUUGGUUGGGGGGUUAUGGCCUAACAAGGGGGGGACGGGUAGCCGGCCUGCGAGGGUGGACGGCCACCUUGGGACUGAGAUACGGCCCAGUCUCCUACGGGAGGCAGCAGUUGGGAAUAUUGCACAAUUGGCGCAAGCCUGAUGCAACGACGCCGCGUGUGGGAUGACGGCCUUCGGGUUGUAAACUCCUUUCGCUAGAGACGAAGCUUUUUGUGACGGUACCUAGAGAAGAAGCACCGGCUAACUACGUG